GACGAACGCUGGCGGCAUGCCUAACACAUGCAAGUCGAACGAGACCUUCGGGUCUAGUGGCGCACGGGUGCGUAACGCGUGGGAACCUGCCCUUAGGUUCGGAAUAACUCCCCGAAAGGGGUGCUAAUACCGGAUAACGUCUUCGGACCAAAGAUUUAUCGCCUUUGGAUGGGCCCGCGUUGGAUUAGCUAGUUGGUAGGGUAAAAGCCUACCAAGGCGACGAUCCAUAGCUGGUCUGAGAGGAUGAUCGGCCACACUGGGACUGAGACACGGCCCAGACUCCUACGGGAGGCAGCAGUGGGGAAUAUUGGACAAUGGGCGAAAGCCUGAUCCAGCAAUGCCGCGUGAGUGAUGAAGGCCUUAGGGUUGUAAAGCUCUUUUACCCGGGAUGAUAAUGACAGUACCGGGAGAAUAAGCGCCGGCUAACUCCGUG
RNAcentral lists this ribosomal RNA (433 nucleotides) under uncultured bacterium. RNAcentral describes it as "partial 16S ribosomal RNA". It matches the Rfam family "Bacterial small subunit ribosomal RNA", at positions 28 to 507 of the family's 1533-position model. The record is from RNAcentral.